ACAAUAAGAAACAAAAAUCCAAAUAUAAAUCAAGUCUCGAAACAAAUUAUUUGUCUCUUCCCAAAGCCGAUCGUUUUGGAGGUGAUGACAAUUGUUCCUCAGUUUGGUUGAGUUGUUUUGUCUUGCAAUAGCGUAAUGUCUGGGCCGCCCACACCUAUGGAAAUGAUAAAUUCCUCUUGGGGAAUUCUCUCUUUUAUGCCCCAAUUAGCCACAUUUCAUGCAACUGCCUGAGGUUAUCUAACAAACUUCGCGGUGUAGUUUUCCACAAGUAUCACACACAUGAGCUUUC
This 289-nucleotide small RNA is filed under the name Arabidopsis thaliana (thale cress). Its description in RNAcentral is "ATSL158100". The record is from RNAcentral. Lineage: Eukaryota; Viridiplantae; Streptophyta; Magnoliopsida; Brassicales; Brassicaceae.